AGUCUUGGCAGAGGAGACAAAAAGUAAAGAGACAAUGGCAGGACCGGUGUGACGGGGCACAGGGGUCUGGUUUAGGCAGAGAGGAGGGUCCCUUGGAGGCAGAGCAUGGGAAAUGCUGCUCAGUCUAGGUGAUACCCAGGCGAGGUCUUAGAGGUGCACAGAAUCCUGUGAGAAGGGCACCAUCCCAGCAGUGGAGGGUGGGACCAGGGAGAUUGGAUCUGCUCUCACCAGGAUGUGCAUGAGGCACAGAAGCAUUGAAGCCAAGCUGAGGCAGUUUUCGAGCGCUUUAAUUGAUUGUCUGAUAAACCCACUUCAAGAACAGAUGGAAG
RNAcentral lists this small RNA (329 nucleotides) under Pongo abelii (Sumatran orangutan). RNAcentral describes it as "processed transcript". Lineage: Eukaryota; Metazoa; Chordata; Mammalia; Primates; Hominidae. The record is from RNAcentral.